Small nucleolar RNA from Manihot esculenta (cassava), 78 nucleotides. RefSeq annotates it as small nucleolar RNA R21. NCBI's taxonomy places the organism in Eukaryota, Viridiplantae, Streptophyta, Magnoliopsida, Malpighiales, Euphorbiaceae. The record is from RefSeq and is a predicted model, not a curated record. The transcript has a single exon.
CGUCCCCAUGAAGAAUGAUGUUCAUAUGUGAAAGUAGUGGGAUGAUUUCCAUUGAUGACGAACAAAUUAUGAUGAAUG